This is a non-coding RNA of Camellia sinensis, 576 nucleotides long. The record is from RefSeq and is a predicted model, not a curated record. NCBI's taxonomy places the organism in Eukaryota, Viridiplantae, Streptophyta, Magnoliopsida, Ericales, Theaceae.
ACAAUUCAUGCACACACAAAUUGGUCUUCCUUUUCAUUUUAGUUUGAUAUUUUAACAUUGUAAUCCUGACCUGGCUUGCUGAUCCAGAUCCUUACAAUUAAUUAUCGUUCUGUGCUUUUGAUCCUUCCACAGACAUAUACCUAACAGUUGUUUUGAUUGAUUGGCAGAAUGGAAUGCAUUCUCUUUGUCCAGAUGUAUGGUCUGAGCAUAGAAGGUGGCUGUUGAUGUCAAUGAUCUGUCUCAAUCCGUUAGCGUGUUGUCAAUGAAGAUGAAGGAAUGCCAGGCAGAAGUAGAUUGGGCAGGAAGGGGAAAUUUUGGUUUUAAAUAAUUGUGUCCCUUUCUACCUUAGGGAGCUUUGGUGUUUGUGAUGCUGACGAGGAGUCCUUUGAUGAAAAGUAUAAGAAGCUUCGCUGUGACAUUGCCCUGCUUCCUCAUAAUAGCAACAAUUAUCUGUUGAUAAGAAUUACUUGAUAUGUCAAUUUUUGGAAAUUUUGAAUUUGAAAACUUUGAAUAUACUCAGAGCUAUGUACUCAUUAUGAUUUGGUAAUAGAGUGUCUUUGAUUUGUGGAUGUCAAA